UUUGCUGCAGCUGCCUCUAACGCCUCCAGAUGGCGCGCUGGUGCUCGUUCUCGGCUCUCAGCGACCGGCCAAUUGCCAGCUGCUGGGGAGAAUGAGCUUGGAGCCGCAGGGCUUAAUCCCGCGCGGCUCAGAGAUGGGUUUCUGGACUCGCGAAGCAGCUGCAACAAGGCAUCACUCACUGUACAAGUAUUUCCAUUUCUGAGAGCAAAAGGAAGAACUUAAGCGGGCGGCACUUGGAGUGUAAAUUGCUUUGUAGUAUUUAAAGGCAGAAUGGAUCCUGGGCAGCCGAGCUGGUUGGAGUACAGUGGCAAGAUCUCAGCUCACUGCAACCUCACCUCUCAGGCUACGUGAUCCUCCUAUCUCAGCCUCCUGAGUAGCUGGGACCACAGGAAUACCACUAAGAUAAUUUUUUCCAGAAUCCCCCCCAUGCCAGUAAUGGAAAAACAAAAUGGAACAAAGGAAAAAUAAGGUUUUUAUCCACAACAUGGCAAUAAGAAAUGCUGGUGAGGAUGUGCAGAAACGGGAACCCUCAUACACUAUUGAUGAGAAGCUUUGGAUGUUUAAAAGUCUGCAGCACCUCCCACCUUGCCCUCUUCCUCAUUCUCCGGCCAUGAGAGAUGUUCUUGCUUCCCUUUCACCUUCUGCCAUAAUUGUACAUUUCCUGAGGCCUCCGCAGACAUGCUUCCUGUACAGCCUGCAAAACUGGUCUGACUCCUUCCUGGGCUCGAGUGCUGUGGCUUGUUCAUAG
This 748-nucleotide long non-coding RNA is filed under the name Callithrix jacchus (white-tufted-ear marmoset). RNAcentral's name for it is "lncRNA (ENSCJAG00000084953.1)". Lineage: Eukaryota; Metazoa; Chordata; Mammalia; Primates; Cebidae. The record is from RNAcentral.